This 745-nucleotide ribosomal RNA is filed under the name Mycena cahaya. RNAcentral describes it as "eukaryotic LSU rRNA". The stretch from base 241 to 394 matches the Rfam family "5.8S ribosomal RNA". The record is from RNAcentral. Lineage: Eukaryota; Fungi; Basidiomycota; Agaricomycetes; Agaricales; Mycenaceae.
GGAAGGAUCAUUAUUGAAUAACUUGGUGUUGAGCUGGCUAUGCAAGUGCUUGCAUCAUAUUAUUUAUCUAUCUCUUGUGCACCUUUUGUAGUCUUUGAAAGUGUUCGCAGUCAAAUGCGGUUUUUUGGGCCUUGGGCUUUGCUGUCCUUUGCCCUGUUUGCUUUGAAGGCUAUGUUUUAUACACACUGUUUUGAAGUCGUAGAAUGUCUGUUAUUGACUUUUGAGUCAGUAAAUCUAUACAACUUUCAGCAACGGAUCUCUUGGCUCUCCCAUCGAUGAAGAACGCAGCGAAAUGCGAUAAGUAAUGUGAAUUGCAGAAUUCAGUGAAUCAUCGAAUCUUUGAACGCACCUUGCGCCCUUUGGUAUUCCGAAGGGCAUGCCUGUUUGAGUGUCAUUAAAUUCUCAAUCUUGCAGACUUUGUCUGUGAGGCUUGGAUGUGAGGGCUUUGCUGGCUUUCUUUAAAGUCUGCUCCCUUUAAAUUCAUUAGUGGGAUUCCUUUGUGGAUGGUCACUUGGUGUGAUAAUUAUCUACGCCGUCUGACUCUGAAACAAGACUUGUGGGAAAUCUGCUUAUAACCACCAUCUUUUUUUGACAAUUUGACCUCAAAUCAGGUAGGACUACCCGCUGAACUUAAGCAUAUCAAUAAGCGGAGGAAAAGAAACUAACAAGGAUUCCCUUAGUAACUGCGAGUGAAGCGGGAAAAGCUCAAAUUUAAAAUCUGGCGGUUCUGCCGUCCGAGUUGUAA